GUCCAGCAGACCACAUAUGGGAACUAUUUCACGCUUCAGUGGUUCGCCUGCGAUUCAAAUCCGUGCUAUCGGUCAACAACAUCAGACCACCUUAUCGAGGAGGUCUCAAAGUUAUCUGCACUGGUCUUGCUCAGUUGCUUCAUCCUGCUCCUCGAGAAAUCGCAGUUACGUACGUUGAUCGAAGGGGUAUGAAAGUUGUUUUCCUUUUCAUCUCUGAUUAUGGGCAAAUUUCAAUGGGAAAGCAACACCUCAUCAUAUUCUGCAAAUAACUUCACAGAACUUCAAUCAAGAACGUGCAUAUAAUUUUGAUACUUUAAUUAAUUAACAUUUGUAUUGAAUUUAUGGAUUUAUUGAAAAUAAAUUAUAUGCAGUGUUU
This is a long non-coding RNA of Styela clava, 376 nucleotides long. RefSeq lists it as uncharacterized. NCBI's taxonomy places the organism in Eukaryota, Metazoa, Chordata, Ascidiacea, Stolidobranchia, Styelidae. The record is from RefSeq and is a predicted model, not a curated record.